Molecule: long non-coding RNA, 336 nt
Filed under: Homo sapiens (human)
Lineage: Eukaryota; Metazoa; Chordata; Mammalia; Primates; Hominidae
Description: HSALNT0151571
Source: RNAcentral
GCAGAAACAGGAGUGUGUUUGGCAAAGCGCCAUGUUGACUACUGGCAACCUUUGGCCACGAAGACUGCUGAGCUUGCACACACCCAGGCAGCACUGUAAGAAGUACCUCUAGGCCUGGGAGGCAUUGAGAAAAAGGAAGUGGGUCCUGUUCUGGUUCUUGCGACUGUAGUCACCGCCCGAGGCAAAUGACCACUGUCCUGAGAGGACGUGGAUGAGGGCAGGGAGAAGAGGGGGUCCUCCACGUCCCUGCCAGCCUUCUCCAGGCCCAGCCAUUCUGGAAGCCGCACUCAGAAGGGGCAGAUGCUGUGCCCUUUCCUGCCCCCUAGCAUGGCACAG